CGACGGGAGCUUGCUCCCUUAGGUCAGCGGCGGACGGGUGAGUAACACGUGGUAACCUGCCUGUAAGACUGGGAUAACUCCGGGAAACCGGGGCUAAUACCGGAUGCUUGAUUGAACCGCAUGGUUCCAAUCAUAAAAGGUGGCUUUUAGCUACCACUUACAGAUGGACCCGCGGCGCAUUAGCUAGUUGGUGAGGUAACGGCUCACCAAGGCGACGAUGCGUAGCCGACCUGAGAGGGUGAUCGGCCACACUGGGACUGAGACACGGCCCAGACUCCUACGGGAGGCAGCAGUAGGGAAUCUUCCGCAAUGGACGAAAGUCUGACGGAGCAACGCCGCGUGAGUGAUGAAGGUUUUCGGAUCGUAAAACUCUGUUGUUAGGGAAGAACAAGUACCGUUCGAAUAGGGCGGCACCUUGACGGUACCUAACCAGAAAGCCACGGCUAACUACGUGCCAGCAGCCGCGGUAAUACGUAGGUGGCAAGCGUUGUCCGGAAUUAUUGGGCGUAAAGCGCGCGCAGGCGGUUUCUUAAGUCUGAUGUGAAAGCCCCCGGCUCAACCGGGGAGGGUCAUUGGAACUGGGGAACUUGAGUGCAGAAGAGGAGAGUGGAUUCCACGUGUAGCGGUGAAAUGCGUAGAGAUGUGGAGGAACACCAGUGGCGAAGGCGACUCUCUGGUCUGUAACUGAC
Molecule: ribosomal RNA, 689 nt
Filed under: uncultured Bacilli bacterium
Lineage: Bacteria; Bacillati; Bacillota; Bacilli
Description: bacterial SSU rRNA
Rfam family: Bacterial small subunit ribosomal RNA
Source: RNAcentral